AUAUUGGACAAUGGGGGAAACCCUGAUUCAGCAAUGCCGCGUGAGUGAAGAAGGCCUUAGGGUUGUAAAGCUCUUUCGCCCGCGAAGAUAAUGACGGUAGCGGGAGAAGAAGCCCCGGCUAACUCCGUGCCAGCAGCCGCGGUAAUACGGAGGGGGCUAGCGUUGUUCGGAAUUACUGGGCGUAAAGCGUACGUAGGCGGAUGCGCAAGUUGGGGGUGAAAUCCCGGGGCUUAACCUCGGAAUUGCCCUCAAAACUGCACGUCUUGAGACCGAGAGAGGUAAGGGGAAUUCCUAGUGUAGAGGUGAAAUUCGUAGAUAUUAGGAAGAACACCAGUGGCGAAGGCGCCUUACUGGCUCGGUACUGACGCUGAGGUACGAAAGCGUGGGGAGCAAACA
RNAcentral lists this ribosomal RNA (396 nucleotides) under uncultured bacterium. RNAcentral describes it as "bacterial SSU rRNA". It matches the Rfam family "Bacterial small subunit ribosomal RNA", at positions 361 to 774 of the family's 1533-position model. The record is from RNAcentral.